AGAGACCACGAGCGUUAUCCGAAUUUAUUGGGCGUAAAGGGUCCGCAGGCGGUCUGGUAAGUCAUUUGUCAAAUCUUCGGGCUCAACCCGAAGGCUGCAGGUGAUACUGCUAGACUAGAGGCCGGGAGAGGCACACGGAAUUGCUGGUGUAGCAGUAAAAUGCGUUAAUAUCAGCAAGAACACCAAAUGCGAAGGCAGUGUGCUGGAACGAGCCUGACGCUCAGGGACGAAAGCGUGGGGUAGCGAAUGGGAUUAGAUACCCCAGUAGUCCACGCCCGUAAACGAUGAAUGCUAGAUAUUGGGAGUAUCGACCCUCCCAGUGUCGUUGAACCAAGCUAACGCGUUAAGCAUUCCGCCUGGGGAGUACGGCCGCAAGGCUAA
Molecule: ribosomal RNA, 381 nt
Filed under: uncultured organism
Description: partial 16S ribosomal RNA
Rfam family: Bacterial small subunit ribosomal RNA
Source: RNAcentral